RNAcentral lists this ribosomal RNA (446 nucleotides) under uncultured bacterium. RNAcentral's name for it is "partial 16S ribosomal RNA". It matches the Rfam family "Bacterial small subunit ribosomal RNA", at positions 338 to 795 of the family's 1533-position model. The record is from RNAcentral.
CCUACGGGGGGCAGCAGUAGGGAAUUUUCGGCAAUGGGGGGAACCCUGACCGAGCAAAGCCGCGUGAACGAAGAAGUUAAUCGUAAUGUAAAGUUCUAUGAACAGGGAAGAAAGAGAAAUUUGACGGUACCUGAAGAAUAAGCUCCGGCUAAGUACGUGCCAGCAGCCGCGGUAAUACGUAGGGAGCGAGCGUUAUCCGAAAUUAUUGGGCGUAAAGGGUGCGUAGAUGGAAUAGUAAGGCUUUUGUAAAAAUGCUGGGCUCAACCCAGUAGGGCAAAAGAUACUGCAAAGCUAGAGUAUGACAGAGGCAAGUGGAACUACAUGUGUAGCGGUAAAAUGCGUAAAUAUAUGGAGGAACACCAGUGUCGAAGGCGGUCUGCUGGACAGCAACUGACGGUGAGGCGCGAAAGCGUGGGGAGCAAACAGGAUUAGAUACCCCAGUAGUC